UUAGGAACUGCUGUUUGCACAAAGCC
This 26-nucleotide non-coding RNA is filed under the name Cricetulus griseus (Chinese hamster). The record is from RNAcentral. Lineage: Eukaryota; Metazoa; Chordata; Mammalia; Rodentia; Cricetidae.